RNAcentral lists this long non-coding RNA (312 nucleotides) under Phoenix dactylifera (date palm). RNAcentral describes it as "long non-coding RNA (PDAC_LNC007500)". The record is from RNAcentral. Lineage: Eukaryota; Viridiplantae; Streptophyta; Magnoliopsida; Arecales; Arecaceae.
AUCCUUCGCCGACUAAUCAUCAAUUGAUCCCACCAUAUGCUUGCAUAAUCCGUGAACUCAACUACUGUCAAUUUCACCUUUUUCUCAUUUGAAUAGUUGUGACAAUCAAACACAUGUUCAACUUUUCUCUCCCAUUCCAAGUAAAGUUCGGGAUCAUUCUUUCCUUGAAAGAUAGGAAUCUUCAUCUUGAUGCUGCCCAGAUUAUUAUCUUUUGAAUCAUCGGCCUUCUUUCCCCUUCUAGAGUUAGAUUCAUAAUCUAAAUCUUCUUCAUCAUCUUCAAACAUCCGCCCCCUCAAAGGUUUGAUUCUGCUU